AAAAUUAGCAGGUAAGGUAUCA
Molecule: microRNA, 22 nt
Filed under: Ananas comosus (pineapple)
Lineage: Eukaryota; Viridiplantae; Streptophyta; Magnoliopsida; Poales; Bromeliaceae
Description: microRNA s1301_c034b
Source: RNAcentral